UCCUCUUUAAAGAUUGUUUAGAUUAAUUCUUUGCCAUCAAAGUCUCAUUUGAAGACCUUUUCGCCAUUGGCAAUGUUAUUUUCAUUUGAAAAUCAUGAAACUAGAGCUGCCUUUUUGAAUCACCUCCCCUUGUGCAUGCCUUAGCUUGGCUAUUUCCAUGUCAAGCAAUUCUAGUUUCACUAUUUUUCUUGUGCUUAAAAUGUGGUGAUGAUUCUGUAUAUUUUUUCCUCUUAACCCGCUGUUGACAUUAUGGCUUGCAAGAGAACAAUUGCCACAAGUACAGAUGGUUUGUUUAGCUUCUUUCCAUUGCAAUAUCACCUAUUUCUGUUGCAGAAGACCAAAAAAGGGAAGAAGAAUAAGACUAAAAACAGAAGAAGAAGAAUUGAAAAUUGUUAAGAGGAUGGAAAUACAAAAGCCUUUGCCUCUGUUACUAAUAAUGUCAAACAAAAUCCUAGUAGAACAGCAAGCUUGAUUUUCGUAGAUCCAGGUUGGGCAAUUUGGUCUAAUUAAGCUGUAGGGGUGUGAAUUGAUAAGACCAAAUCAAUCCCCAACCCACAUACUUAUCAUAAUACCAUGUAUCCAUGUAUAAUUAAUAAUCAAUCCCCAACGCAUAGGUCCACAGAACUUUAAAACCCUAAUCAUAGUCAGAAAUUGUUGCACAUGUUAUGAAGCGAGUAAAACUUGACAUGUUCAUCAAAACCAAGACAGAAGAGCAAUAUAACGAACAGAUAUUGAUCCGAAAGAAAAAAAAAACAAAUCUCAAAGUUACAUGAUACAAGGUUUCGAAAACAAAUAAAUUCGUGUUAUGCACCUUGGUGAUCUGAGAUUUCCAUUCCGAAAUUGCCCGAAUCAUUUCGCUUCGGAUAUCCGAAUCAUUCUCAUAAAUCUGACAGAAUUCUCCAGUUGAUGCCUGAGGUUGUUAUUCAGAAAGCAUGUCGAUAAACGAGCUUCCUCCUUCAACUUCAACAUCAACAUCAUCUUCAUCUUCGUAAGGUCUGCAGACGAAUACGACGAGAAGAAAGCGAGUCUCUGAAGUCUGAAGUGAAAAUUGAAGAGCAUUACUCAUCAGGAAUUUGAAACUUCAAGCCUUUGUUCUUGCAUUGAAAGUGCAAUGCAAAACAAUGAGCAUGGUUUUGCUAAUUGAGGAAUUUUCCGGCUACGAGGACUGGAUUUUUCUGGCAGGAUACGAAGGAUGGCGCGAUUAUUGCAA
RNAcentral lists this long non-coding RNA (1210 nucleotides) under Manihot esculenta (cassava). RNAcentral describes it as "long non-coding RNA (MESC_LNC003047)". Lineage: Eukaryota; Viridiplantae; Streptophyta; Magnoliopsida; Malpighiales; Euphorbiaceae. The record is from RNAcentral.